UGGGGAAUCUUGCACAAUGGAGGCAACUCUGAUGCAGCGACGCCGCGUGAGCGAUGAAGCCCCUCGGGGUGUAAAGCUCUUUCGGCAGGGACGAUAAUGACGGUACCUGAAGAAGAAGCUGCGGCUAACUACGUGCCAGCAGCCGCGGUAAUACGUAGGCAGCGAGCGUUGUUCGGAAUUACUGGGCGUAAAGAGUGUGUAGGCGGUGCUCUAAGUUCGGUGUGAAAUCUCCUGGCUUAACUGGGAGGGUGCGCCGAAAACUGGAGUGCUCGAGCGUGGGAGAGGAAAGCGGAAUUCCUGGUGUAGCGGUGAAAUGCGUAGAUAUCAGGAGGAACACCAGCGGUGUAGACGGCUUUCUGGACCAUUGCUGACGCUGAGACACGAAAGCGUGGGUAGCAAACAG
RNAcentral lists this ribosomal RNA (403 nucleotides) under uncultured bacterium. RNAcentral describes it as "bacterial SSU rRNA". It matches the Rfam family "Bacterial small subunit ribosomal RNA", at positions 355 to 775 of the family's 1533-position model. The record is from RNAcentral.